UACGAAGGGGGCUAGCGUUGUUCGGAAUCACUGGGCGUAAAGCGCACGUAGGCGGAUCCUUAAGUCAGGGGUGAAAUCCCGAGGCUCAACCUCGGAACUGCCUUUGAUACUGUGGAUCUUGAGUCCGGGAGAGGUGAGUGGAAUUGCGAGUGUAGAGGUGAAAUUCGUAGAUAUUCGCAAGAACACCAGUGGCGAAGGCGGCUCACUGGCCCGGUACUGACGCUGAGACGCGAAAGCGUGGGGAGCAAACAGG
This 253-nucleotide ribosomal RNA is filed under the name uncultured bacterium. Its description in RNAcentral is "partial 16S ribosomal RNA". It matches the Rfam family "Bacterial small subunit ribosomal RNA", at positions 524 to 776 of the family's 1533-position model. The record is from RNAcentral.